Molecule: non-coding RNA, 198 nt
Filed under: uncultured Acetatifactor sp.
Lineage: Bacteria; Bacillati; Bacillota; Clostridia; Lachnospirales; Lachnospiraceae
Description: Lysine riboswitch
Rfam family: Lysine riboswitch aptamer
About the family: Riboswitches are metabolite binding domains within certain messenger RNAs that serve as precision sensors for their corresponding targets. Allosteric rearrangement of mRNA structure is mediated by ligand binding, and this results in modulation of gene expression.
Source: RNAcentral
AAGAUAGAGGUUGCGUAGUUCAAUAGUAUUUCUUCUGAUGCGGCAGGCGCAGAUGAGGGAGAGAGAAAGGGAAAUACGCCGAAAGAGGAGAUACCCUGCGGAUUGAGUCUUGGGCAUACGGUUAAGAGUCGUAUGACUGUCAUCUGUGUUGCUUCGUUUUGACAACGAACAACAAUAAUCGGAUGGGGAGCUGUCCGG